GGCAACAGCUCAAAUUUGAAAUCUGGCUUCGGCCCGAGUUGUAAUUUGCAGAGGAAGCUUUAGGCGCGGCACCAACUGAGUCCCCUGGAACGGGGCGCCAUAGAGGGUGAGAGCCCCGUAUAGUUGGACGCUAAGCCUGUGUAAAGCUCCUUCGACGAGUCGAGUAGUUUGGGAAUGCUGCUCAAAAUGGGAGGUAAAUUUCUUCUAAAGCUAAAUACCGGCCAGAGACCGAUAGCGCACAAGUAGAGUGAUCGAAAGAUGAAAAGCACUUUGAAAAGAGGGUUAAAUAGCACGUGAAAUUGUUGAAAGGGAAGCGCUUGUGACCAGACUUGCGCCUGGCUGAUCAUCCGGUGUUCUCACCGGUGCACUCUGCCAGGCUCAGGCCAGCAUCGGUUCUCGCGGGGGGAUAAAGGCCCUGGGAACGUAGCUCCUCCGGGAGUGUUAUAGCCCAGGGUGCAAUGCCCUCGCGGGGACCGAGGUUCGCGCAUCUGCAAGGAUGCUGGCGUAAUGGUCAUCAGCGACCCGUCU
Molecule: ribosomal RNA, 528 nt
Filed under: soil fungal sp. DM2-055
Lineage: Eukaryota; Fungi
Description: eukaryotic LSU rRNA
Rfam family: Eukaryotic large subunit ribosomal RNA
Source: RNAcentral